CAUAAGCACGCCUGCCGCGAAACUCUAGCCAGUCUGCUUCUGGGUUUACGGUGCGGUGCACACACACACACGGACAGGAGAGGGAGAGAGAGAAAGAGUGCGCGCACGGAGUAACGAAACCACCCACUCACCAAGACUCUCGCAGUACUCGUGCCAGCAACGACAACGAUGGAGACUUCGCAACAGGUCGUGAAGACCAGCUAUAGCUACAGCAGCGGCGGCGGCGGCGGCGCCAGCAGCAGCAACGUCGCCUUCAUCGAUAUUCCCGACGCUAGCAGAUUCCAGGAUAAGAUCAGAGCGCUCGAGGAUGACUUGGACCUGGAGAGAGAGAUCAGGAGCAGGAUUGUGAGGCA
This is a long non-coding RNA of Priapulus caudatus, 353 nucleotides long. RefSeq lists it as uncharacterized. NCBI's taxonomy places the organism in Eukaryota, Metazoa, Priapulida, Priapulimorpha, Priapulimorphida, Priapulidae. The transcript is spliced from 3 exons. The record is from RefSeq and is a predicted model, not a curated record.